This 468-nucleotide ribosomal RNA is filed under the name uncultured bacterium. RNAcentral's name for it is "partial 16S ribosomal RNA". It matches the Rfam family "Bacterial small subunit ribosomal RNA", at positions 28 to 507 of the family's 1533-position model. The record is from RNAcentral.
GACGAACGCUGGCGGCGUGCUUAACACAUGCAAGUCGAACGGACAGGCCCUGCUUUUGUUGGUUGCUCGAGUGGCGAAGGGGUGAGUAACACGCGAGUAAACUGCCCUUGACUUUGGGAUAACUUCAGGAAACUGGGGCUCAUAUCCGGUAGGAGCUCCUGCUGCAUGGUGGGGGUUGGUAAGAUUCGGCGGUUGGGGAUGGACUCGCGGCAUAUCCGCUUGUUUGGGGGGUUGUGGCUUACCAAGGCUUUGACGGGUAGCCGGCCUGAGCGGGUGACCGGCGACAUUGGGACUGAGAUACGGCCCAGACGCCUACGGGAGGCAGCAGUGGGGAAUAUUGCACAGUGGGCGGAAGCCAGAGGCAGCAACGCCGCGUGCGGAAUGACGGCCUUCGGGUUAUAAACCGCUUUCGCCUGUGACGAAGCGGGAGUGACGGUAAUGGGUAAAGAAGCACCGGCUAACUACGUG